Molecule: ribosomal RNA, 372 nt
Filed under: uncultured bacterium
Lineage: Bacteria
Description: bacterial SSU rRNA
Rfam family: Bacterial small subunit ribosomal RNA
Source: RNAcentral
UCACUUUUGCGAGACUGCCGGUAAUAAACCGGAGGAAGGUGGGGAUGACGUCAAAAUCAUCAUGCCCCUUAUGACCUGGGCUACACACGUGCUACAAUGGUUGGUACAACGAGUUGCGAGUCGGUGACGGCAAGCUAAUCUCUUAAAGCCAAUCUCAGUUCGGAUUGUAGGCUGCAACUCGCCUACAUGAAGUCGGAAUCGCUAGUAAUCGCGGAUCAGCACGCCGCGGUGAAUACGUUCCCGGGCCUUGUACACACCGCCCGUCACACCACGAGAGUUUGUAACACCCGAAGUCGGUGAGGUAACCUUUUGGAGCCAGCCGCCUAAGGUGGGAUAGAUGAUUGGGGUGAAGUCGUAACAAGGUAACCGUAA